This 781-nucleotide ribosomal RNA is filed under the name uncultured Neocallimastigales. Its description in RNAcentral is "partial large subunit ribosomal RNA". It matches the Rfam family "Eukaryotic large subunit ribosomal RNA", at positions 22 to 635 of the family's 3401-position model. Lineage: Eukaryota; Fungi; Neocallimastigomycota; Neocallimastigomycetes; Neocallimastigales. The record is from RNAcentral.
CAUAGCGACUAUCGUGGCAUAUCAAUAAGCGGAGGAAAAGAAACUAACAAGGAUUCCCCUAGUAACGGCGAGUGAAGCGGGAAGAGCUCAAAUUUGAAAUCUUAAAGGGUUUCCCUUUACGAAUUGUAGUUUAAAGAAGUGUUUUCUGUUGGAGUUUCGGUAAAAGUUCUUUGGAAUAGGACAUCAUAGAGGGUGAGAAUCCCGUAUUUGACCGUUACUUUCCAGCUGUGUGAUACACUUUCAAAGAGUCGGAUUGUUUGGGAAUGCAGUCCAAAAUGGGUGGUAAAUUUCAUCUAAAGCUAAAUAUUGGCGAGAAACCGAUAGCGAACAAGUACCGUGAGGGAAAGAUGAAAAGAACUUUGAAAAGAGAGUUAAACAGUACGUGAAAUUGUCAAAAGGGAAGCGUUUGACACCAGUGUUGUUUAGUUGAAAAUCAAUUCAAUAAUUUCUGAUUUUAAGUAGUAUUGACUUCAUCAGCUUGCUGCUUUCUUUUCAGGAAUUAUUGAAUGCACUUUUCAGUUAACAAGUCAACAUCAAUUUCUUUUGUUGUAAAAGGGUAAGAGGAAGGUGGUUUACGUUUCGGGUAAGUGUUUAUAGCCUUUUACCUCUGCAAUCGGAGAGAUUGAGGUACAUGCAGCGUAGACUCCUUCUGGGGUUAGAUACACUUUGUGCUAAGUUAUAGCUUUGUAUAGACAACUUGUUGACUAUGAUUAGUCAUUGUAGCUUACUCGCUUAGUGCUAUUUUACCUACGCUUAGGAUGUUGAUAGUCACAGCGUGUAC